AGUGACAUUGAACAAUUUUAGAAAUAAAAAUUCAGUUUUCUUUAGUAUUAGGACAUAUUAGGUGCCAGCAGUCGCGGUCAUACCUAACUAAUUAAAUUUUUCGCAAAAGGAAUAACACACUUAAAACUAAAUUAGAUAGUAAAAUAUUAUUUUAGGGGAUCCAUAAUUAUGAUUUUUUUAAGAAAUUCUCUACAAAAACUAGGAUUAGAUACCCUACUAUUUUUGAAUAUAACAUAUACCUUUAAGCACUAAAAUCUUCAUGAUUAAAACUUAAAAAUUAUGGCGGUAAAUCAUAACUUUAGGGGAACUUACCAGAUAAUUGACAACCCACAUGUUCCUCAACUUUAUUUCUAUAGCUUAUAUAUUGCCGUUGUGAUUUUACUUAAGGUAAUAUCAAACUAUAUAUUAUUAUAUUAUAUAACAGGUCAUAGUGUAGCAUAUAAUAAAGUCUUAAGGCGAGUUACAAUAGAAAUUUUCUACGGAAUUAAUAUUUAAAAUAUUAAUUAAGAUGGACUUAAAAGUAAUUAUAAAAUAAAAUAAUAAAUAAUGAAUAUUAAAAAUGAUUUGUGUACAAAUCGCCCGUCAUUCUCUUUGCUUAAAAAAAGAGACAAGUCGUAACAUAGUAGAGGUAGCGGAAGCUGCUUCUU
This 647-nucleotide ribosomal RNA is filed under the name Planorbarius corneus. RNAcentral's name for it is "12S ribosomal RNA". Lineage: Eukaryota; Metazoa; Mollusca; Gastropoda; Planorbidae. The record is from RNAcentral.